Molecule: ribosomal RNA, 253 nt
Filed under: uncultured bacterium
Lineage: Bacteria
Description: partial 16S ribosomal RNA
Rfam family: Bacterial small subunit ribosomal RNA
Source: RNAcentral
UACAGAGGUCUCAAGCGUUGUUCGGAUUCAUUGGGCGUAAAGGGUGCGUAGGUGGUGAUGCAAGUCUGGUGUGAAAUCUCGGAGCUCAACUCCGAAAUUGCACCGGAUACUGCGUGACUCGAGGACUGUAGAGGAGAUCGGAAUUCACGGUGUAGCAGUGAAAUGCGUAGAUAUCGAGAGGAACACCAGAGGUGAAGACGGGUUGCUGGGCUGACACUGACGCUGAGGCGCGAAAGCCAGGGGAGCAAACGGG